RNAcentral lists this ribosomal RNA (366 nucleotides) under uncultured organism. RNAcentral describes it as "partial 16S ribosomal RNA". It matches the Rfam family "Bacterial small subunit ribosomal RNA", at positions 527 to 895 of the family's 1533-position model. The record is from RNAcentral.
GUAGGUGGCAAGCGUUGUCCGGAAUUAUUGGGCGUAAAGCGCGCGCAGGCGGUUCUUUAAGUCUGAUGUGAAAGCCCACGGGCUCAACCUGGAGGGUCAUUGGAAACUGGAGAACUUGAGUACAGAAGAGGAAAGCGGAAUUCCACGUGUAGCGGUGAAAUGCGUAGAGAUGUGGAGGAACACCAGUGGCGAAGGCGGCUUUCUGGUCUGUAACUGACGCUGAGGCGCGAAAGCGUGGGGAGCAAACAGGAUUAGAUACCCUGGUAGUCCACGCCGUAAACGAUGAGUGCUAAUGUUAGGGGUUUCCGCCCUUAGUGCUGCAGCUAACGCAUUAAGCACUCCGCCUGGGAGUACGGCCGCAAGGCU